GCCAAGUCGUGAGGCGGAGCUAAUCCCUUAAAGCCAUUCUCAGUUCGGAUUGUAGGCUGAAACUCGCCUACAUGAAGCUGGAGUUACUAGUAAUCGCAGAUCAGAAUGCUGCGGUGAAUGCGUUCCCGGGUCUUGUACACACCGCCCGUCACACCACGGAAGUUGGGGGCGCCCGAAGCCACUUAGCUAACCCUUUUGGGAAGCGAGUGUCGAAGGUGAAAUCAAUAACUGGGGUGAAGUCGUAACAAGGUACC
RNAcentral lists this ribosomal RNA (254 nucleotides) under uncultured bacterium. Its description in RNAcentral is "partial 16S ribosomal RNA". It matches the Rfam family "Bacterial small subunit ribosomal RNA", at positions 1249 to 1500 of the family's 1533-position model. The record is from RNAcentral.